This 253-nucleotide ribosomal RNA is filed under the name uncultured bacterium. RNAcentral's name for it is "partial 16S ribosomal RNA". It matches the Rfam family "Bacterial small subunit ribosomal RNA", at positions 524 to 776 of the family's 1533-position model. The record is from RNAcentral.
UACGUAGGGUGCAGGCGUUAAUCGGAAUUACUGGGCGUAAAGCGUGCGUAGUCGGUUAUCUAAGUCGGAUGUGAAAUCCCCGGGCUCAACCUGGGAAUUGCAUUCGAAACUGAAUAGCUAGAGUUCGGCAGAGGGAAGUGGAAUUUCCGGUGUAGCGGUGAAAUGCGUAGAUAUCUGGAGGAACACCGGUGGCGAAGGCGGCAUCCUGGACCAAUACUGACGCUGAGGAGCGAAAGCCAGGGGAGCAAACGGG